UCCUGGCAUGACAAACUUUCCAGUUGCAUCAAUGACUUUGAUAUCGUCACUAACCUUGAUGUUAGGCUGCACUGCCACAAUUGUUCCAUCCUCUAUAUACACAUCAGCGACCUCCUUAUGAUGAGCAUUCACUACAGUUCCUCCUUUUAUAAGUAUCUUUGAUGAAACUGACGACAUAAAAUCGCACCCAGAAUCUCCAUAAAUAUUUGUGGCAUCACAAAACUGGAUAUUAUUGGAUUCAGAAAGAGGGAAAAGGGCAAGAAGCACUGAAAUCAAAGGAAUCAAAAGUUGAACUCUGAAGAAAAACUCCAUUGAAUCAAAUUGUUGAGUAAAUCUCUAUUAGUUGUGAUCAAAAUUGGAUAAAG
This 365-nucleotide unclassified non-coding RNA is filed under the name Hevea brasiliensis (rubber tree). The record is from RNAcentral. Lineage: Eukaryota; Viridiplantae; Streptophyta; Magnoliopsida; Malpighiales; Euphorbiaceae.